This 497-nucleotide ribosomal RNA is filed under the name uncultured bacterium. RNAcentral's name for it is "partial 16S ribosomal RNA". It matches the Rfam family "Bacterial small subunit ribosomal RNA", at positions 28 to 507 of the family's 1533-position model. The record is from RNAcentral.
GAUGAACGCUGGCGGCGUGCCUAAUACAUGCAAGUCGAGCGAACGGACGAGAAGCUUGCUUCUCUGAUGUUAGCGGCGGACGGGUGAGUAACACGUGGAUAACCUACCUAUAAGACUGGGAUAACUUCGGGAAACCGGAGCUAAUACCGGAUAAUAUUUUGAACCGCAUGGUUCACUAGUGAAAGACGGUCUUGCUGUCACUUAUACAUGGAUCCGCGCUGCAUUAGCUAGUUGGUAAGGUAACGGCUUACCAAGGCAACGAUGCAUAGCCGACCUGAGAGGGUGAUCGGCCACACUGGAACUGAGACACGGUCCAGACUCCUACGGGAGGCAGCAGUAGGGAAUCUUCCGCAAUGGGCGAAAGCCUGACGGAGCAACGCCGCGUGAGUGAUGAAGGUCUUCGGAUCGUAAAACUCUGUUAUUAGGGAAGAACAUAUGUGUAAGUAACUGUGCACAUCUUGACGGUACCUAAUCAGAAAGCCACGGCUAACUACGUG